CGUACCUAAAUGCACAUAGUGUAUUUAAUUUACCCCAGUGACCAACAUGAGCAAAGUGUGACAUUUCAUGCAUUAUAUUUGAACAAUACUUUCACUAUCUGCAGCACUUCUUACGUGUCCAUGGUUUCUUGCACAGAGUUAGAGUAUCAUGCAAACUAGGUAAAUAUUUAUGUAAGCAUUUCAAAUGUCAAAAUUUCAAACCAACCUGUCGAUGAUGUAUUUGAUGUUGUUAUGUAAGCCAUGAUCAGUCCUUCCUUUAUAGGCCUGGAUAUGAAACGCCACCUGGAAAAGUACACAGUGAACCCUGGCAAGCAAGUUCCUUUUGUAAUGUAUUGUAAGACCUCCUUAAUCGUCUGAUUAAUUCUUCUUCCUUUCAAUACAAAAGCAAACACAGAGCAAAUGUAAUAUGCUGAGAUGUGCAGCAGGCUUGGUGUCCUUGGUGAGUGCAGUAUCAUUCAAAAAUCACCAAGGUAACCAAACCAUGUAAUGUUAAAAGACCUCACAUCUGAAAUGUUCAGAACUGUAGCUGUACAAAAUGUUCGAAUUAACAAAGAAAGAUUGCUCUUUCCUUCUGACUGUGCCCAAGGUGGCCUUAACCUCUUUCAAUAUUUAAUUGCAGGCUUUUCUUUACACCAGGCAGAAAUGUUCUCAUGCAGCCAUACCAUUAAGCUGGCUGUGUUUGUGUGUUCUCUGUGCUGAAGUGGAAAGAUGCUUUAACAAGUUAUAAAAUCAUGUUCUGGAAUAAUAAAGUAAUAAUUGAAAAGUUAAAUUUUAAUUCAAAGUAUAAUUGAUGUAAUUCUAUAUGAAUACAUUAUUCAGACUGAACAGAUAAUGCCUUCUAAACAGAUACGAACUAUUGCUGCUGUUUUUGUUUUUAGAACGUUUACCAGAAAGGUUCACAAGGCCUAGCGGUGUGCAUCAAAACUGGGAUCCCAUGGAAAACAAAACCAAAAAAGUUUCAGAAGAUUUUUACCUUCAUGUGGUUGCAAGUAAAAAAGUCAGAUAUAAAGCUCAAAUAAAGACGUGAACAUGCAGCAAUCUACGGUAACUGCGUGGUCAUCACCACAUGGUUUAAAUGAGGCCAUGAGUUAUUUUUGGGAAUAGAACCAAUUAAAUUCAUUAGAAAGUAUUGUGGCCAGGUCCAUACAAAAAUAUUAACGUGUGAGCAGGUUUUCAAACAGUCCCACACACAUCUCUCGAGUGAUACAGCUGAGGUUGUGAAACUGUCAGAGCCAGGAGUCACAGACCAUGCUGACAGAGCUGGCAUUUCUAACUCUGUGGGUGUUUUUUUUUUUUUUUUUUUUCGAGCGUUUUCCAGUAUUUCCAUGGGUAUAGUGGUGAGGUUCAUAAUUAAUUACAAAAAACCAAACAAAAAAAAAAUAAUCUACACCUUCUGGUUUAGGCCACGCCCACUUAAGGUUUAAAUACAGAUACAUAUAUGGCUAUUUGGAGCACUAAACCGAUACAGAUAGUGACUUUGCAUUACACCACACCCUCUAGUACAUAUAUUUCAGGCAAUCUAUGACUAUAUAUGACUAUUUACAUUAUUGUUAUUUGAGCUUAAAUCACCCUACUUUGUGGGCAUACUUGUGCUGCUUUUAUUUCUUAAUGAAGAUUUGGACAAAACCCAGCUAUAUCAUAUUUGAUUAAUGUAAGACACCAUGCUGUGGUGUUGCACUUACUACCAAAGAAUACCAAUGAGUCAGAUGAACAAAUAGCAUAGGUUUAGGUCCAUUCAUCUUUGCCUUCAAUCAUUGUCAGGUGUGUCUCCUGCCUGGUUGGAAUAAAAGCCUGCAGCCACACUGGCCCUUUGCAGAUAUGAUUGAUGACCCCUAGUUUGAUUAUAUACAAUACAAAUAUAUAAUAAGACAGAAGCCUUGCGAAGUUUUGAACAUAGCCAUUAGCAUGAUGAACAUCAAUAUUUCACAGGAUUGGUGAAACAACAGUCCAUUUAAAGAAUUUUUCCUCCUCACAGUUUAAUUAUUCUCCCAAUCUAAUCCUGGCUGAUUUUCCUAUCUGCCAAAAAUGUUUCUGUCUGAAAUGGCCAAAAUAGUUAAUAGAUUUUAAAAGUAUUUUAUGUCAGAUAACAGAUUAACCUAAAGAAUCUCCCAGAGUAAAGUGUCUUUUUUUUAAUGCUUUAUUAUCUAUGCAGCUAAUUUGUAUGUGCUACUGGAGGAUGAGUUUAAAUGCAGGUAAUAGAUGUUCUGGGGUCAUCCACACAUAAGGAAUGGGAGAAUGAUUUACAGUCCCUGUAGCUUUGCAGAUUAGACAUAUAAAGUCCCUUAUGUCAUCAUAAAACUGCAGCAGAGAGGGACUAAUGGAUUGAGGUGAUGCAGGCCACAACCAUUUUCAGUCUGACAUGUUAAAUAAAUGAGUAUGGCACUUAAGAGGGGGUGGAACUACACUGACUUACCUGGGGAUGAAUUGGUAGAUAAUAGCAAAUGAUGAUAUGCAUUAUAAUUUUAAAGAAAGUCUUGCUUCAUGCAUAUCCAGACAUUUUACUCCAUAUUAACAUGUCUUUGUGCUGUUGCAAUAUUCUCAAUUGAAUUUAAUGAUUGCUCAAGUCAUGUUGCAAGGUCUAGGCAGAAAAGAAGCACUGUGGAAAGUAAUGAAAGUAUUGUUUGUGCAGAUUUUCUUUUUCAGAUAUAAAAGAAGAACUGUAGAAGGCAAUGGAAGUAUUGUUUGCAUAGCUUUUUUUAAUCAAAAUUGAAUUUUCUUCAGAUAAUUGUACUAUAUUUCUGAGAUAAAUGCAUUCUUUAUGCUGAGAGUGGCCUCUGUUAAAUGAUUGAAAGAAAGAGACAGUGAUCACAAAAAUAAGAUCUCAUACAUCAUAUCAAUAUUUGAGAUAUUUAAAAAUAAAGGUUAUCACAGAAAGAUAGGGACAAUUAGGUACACCAUCACUAUAAAUAUAAUGGUAGUGGAUAGUCGGUCACAGAUAACAUGACGUAUUUUCUGCAGCAGAACAAGAAAUACUACAAGGUAGAUGUGAGGCAUAUAAAACAAUGAUGCCACAAAAAUCAGCUAAAUUCUGAAAUUGCUGAAUGCUAUGUGAAGUUUGUACUUAUAGUCCCCUGCGAAAGUAUUGGAAUGGCAAGGCCUGUAAUUUUGUUUUUGCUCAAAACUAUUUGGAUUUGAGAAGAAGAUGAAUAUGAGACAACAGAUCAGAAUUUUAGCUUUAAUUUCCUGAUAUUUACAUAUAAAUGUGUUAAAUAUUGCAAAAACAAAAGAAUUGGCCUUGCCGUUCCAAUACUUUCAGAGGGGUCUGUAUAUAUCAUAUUCAGCAAGCAUAUAAUGGCUAAAUAUAUUUUAUAAUCAUCUUAUUGAAUAAUCAAAAUGCAUUCAAUAGCUCAACUGAUGGUUUGUAUAGACUAAGCUGUCUCUAUAAUGCUAAGCUUACUAAGGUAGCAAGCUAACCAAUAAAAUUCUAAAUAAAAAUGUAAAUAAAAAGUGAGGCAAGGCCCUGAUUCUCACAUUUGUAGGAAAAGGCUUGAUUAACUAGAGCAGAUGUGUUAAGAGUGAACAAAUCUUUUAAAAUUGCACAAUAUAAGGGCAACAUUAUACAGUAUGUUAGAGUAAGAGUUCACUACUUAUAUUUUUUUAAAAAUCUUUAGUUACACUAGGUGUCAAUAAACAUGUUUUGGUGUAUUACUGGUUGGAAAUUCAACUUCAUUUCUGAAUAUUUUUAAACUAAAAAUUCUCUGCUUUCUUUUGUCUUGUAGUAUGUUUCUAAUAAAAAAAAUUUCAACAUUGGACUACUGGCAUGCUCACAGCCAUUUCAUUUCAAAAUAUCUCCAGGUAAUAGAUCAGUUGACUUCACAGUGAAAGAUCGCAACACAUCACAACAAGUUGACGGGGAGUGCUGAAAUGAGCAGGCACUGAGCAAACACAUAUUGUGCAUUAUUGAUAGGGCUUGGUUGGAGAACACUGCCCUUACACACCUCUCUCUCAUCACUUACUCAUAGGCCUUACUCUUAGCCUCUCCAACUGCUCAUUAUGAGCACAUAAUUACAUAGCACUAACACUGCUGUCCAGAUGUUUAAACACAUAUACCUUUGCUAUUUAAGAAGUUAAUCCACUCUGAUAGAGCUGCUAGCUAAAAUGCCCUUGAAUCAUCCCUUCAGCUAGGCUUAGACAAUUUAGAUAUGGGAGAACUGCCAUCAUAUAUCUGUUUUUGCCCAAUUUGAAUAUUUCAGUGAAAUAGUAAACCUAAUAAUUGAUGAUGGACUGAACACUUUACCGUACAAGGCCAUCUACCAUCCACUAUUUCUGAGAGCUUCUACUUCAGCCACUUUUAAUUAGCAGGAGAAUUCUGAAGUUACAUGGGUUGGAUUACGAAGGAGUGUAAUCCAACCUACAGACCACACAGGGUAAAAGUUUGAUGAAGGGCUUUAUAUAAUAGCAGGAGGAAAGGGAGAACAUCCGCUCACUGAAAACUGUCCCUAUAACAGUCAACUGGAGCAGUUCUUCAGCCCCUAUACUACUCAUCAUACCACUAAUGCAAAUACACGCACAAUACACACAGCAUUUUUAGUAACCUCUUGCAAUACAUUAGUAUAGUGUGUUUUCUAAUGUGUACACUAUUAAGGAGUGAACAACUGAGCUAUACUUGCUAAUUCAAAAUGACAUGCUUACCUUUAAAUUGUGCCUGAGUGCAGCAUCCAGGAUCGAUGGUACCAAAUCUUCAGAAGGCUCCCCAUGAUCAUCAGCCAAACCGGGAGGAUACCAGGACAGCACCACCACACCUUAGAGACAAUACAGCACAGUGGCAGAGCAGGUAGAGCUGCUGCCUCACAGCUCCAGGGUCACUGUCUGUGUCGUUUUGCAUGUUCCAUGUGGGUUUCCUCCAGGUUCUUUCCUUUCCUCUCAUUGCCCAGAAAUAUGCAGGUAAGUGGAUUUGCCACUCUAAAUUGCUCCUAGGUGUGAACGUGUGUGUGCAUGGUGCCCGCAAUGGAGGGUAUAUAUAUAUAUAUAUAUAUAUAUAUAUAUGCAUCAUGACCAUAUCCCCCAUGACCCUGACCAGAAUAAAGCUGUUAAUGAAGAUGAAUGAAUGAAAAUGUACAAUGCCUUUAAAUGAUUAAGCAAAACCAUUGUCUUUUCUUGAAUAUUCUGUAUCAAAUUCACCAUUUCAAGCUGUUUGUCACUAAUGAUAGUUCUACAUUGCAAAUGAUUAAAUAUUUGUUGCUAUUUGAUAGAUCAUGCCAUAAUAAAGUCUCUGUUCCAAUGCUCUCAUUUGCUACACAUUUCCUACUGUUUUAUAAUGUUUCAGCAGUAUGAUCCUACAGGAUCAUAUAUUAUCCUCUCAUAUUUGUUUGAGCAGAUGUAGGAAAAGCCUCCAGGGUCUGUCAUCCUGCUUCAUCAUCUUCAUUAGGCACUGCAGACGCACUGAUUAACAGUAGCAGAACUGCUUGUGUGUGAGAAAGCACAAGGAAGUCCUUGAAGGCCUGAUUUAAGACACAGAGGGAGGCCUGCUCUAUCGGGACGGAUUUAAGACACCUGGGGGAUGUGAAAUUGCGGUCAUGUCUUCUUAUUUAUGAUGAAUAGAAUAGGCUUUUGACCUGAAGUUGAAAUGAAGUUGGAAUAAAGUAAUUCUCACAGUCCGUGUGUUUCAUUAGAUUUUCACCAUACUUGUAUAUCCUUUCUUAAUCAUGUAAUCAUUUAUGUUAAUUUUAUCUUUAUUUGUCCAAUAAGUAUGAAGUUCUUUGUUUACCUGUAAUCAUGAAACACAGCCCUGUUCAGUGAACUAUUUAAUUGCAUGUAACACU
Pangasianodon hypophthalmus (striped catfish) is the source of this 5762-nucleotide long non-coding RNA. RefSeq lists it as uncharacterized. Lineage: Eukaryota; Metazoa; Chordata; Actinopteri; Siluriformes; Pangasiidae. The transcript has 3 exons. The record is from RefSeq and is a predicted model, not a curated record.